This 274-nucleotide ribosomal RNA is filed under the name uncultured bacterium. Its description in RNAcentral is "partial 16S ribosomal RNA". It matches the Rfam family "Bacterial small subunit ribosomal RNA", at positions 523 to 796 of the family's 1533-position model. The record is from RNAcentral.
AUACGGAGGGUGCAGGCGUUACUCGGAAUCACUGGGCGUAAAGCGCGCGCAGGCGGCUUGAUAAGUUGGAUGUGAAAGCCUACGGCUCAACCGUAGAACUGCAUCCAAAACUGUCAGGCUAGAGUGUGGGAGAGGAAGAUGGAAUUAGUUGUGUAGGGGUAAAAUCCGUAGAGAUAACUAGGAAUACCAAAAGCGAAGGCAAUCUUCUGGAACACUACUGACGCUGAGGCGCGAAGGCGUGGGGAGCAAACAGGAUUAGAAACCCCAGUAGUCC